Molecule: non-coding RNA, 686 nt
Organism: Cherax quadricarinatus
Lineage: Eukaryota; Metazoa; Arthropoda; Malacostraca; Decapoda; Parastacidae
Source: RefSeq, a predicted model, not a curated record
CGUAGACCAGCUAGACAAGACCAAGUUUCCAUGCAGCGAGGUCACUGAAGGUGGCAACCGCUGACUCUGGGGAAGUGGGGAAGGGAGUCCACCUGAGGUGACACAAGUGGACUCCUGGAGACACUGAUCCGGGGAAGGCACCGCUGACUCUGGGGAAGUGGGGAAGGGAGUCCACUCAGGUGACACAAGUGGACUCCUGGAGACACUGAUCCGGGGAAGGCACCGCCGACCUUAGGGAAAUGGGGAAGGGAAGACAUCCGGAGCGAGCGGAUGGAUUCCUGGAUACAUGAACUUGAGGAAGGUUGUUGUUGAGGCUGACCUUGGGUAAGUGGGGAAGGGGAGACAUCCGGAGCGAGCGGAUGGAUUCCUGGAUACAUGAACCUGAGCAAGGCAAGAAUACAUGCAGUUGAGGCUGACCUUGGGUAAGUGGGGAAGGGAAGAUAUCCGGCGGUAGACGGAAGGAUUCCUGGAUACAUGAUCCUGGGAAUGGCAAGAAUACCGCUGACCUUGGGGAAGUGGGAAAGGGAGUCCACUCAGGUGACAUAAGUGGACUCCUGGAGACACUGAUCCGGGGAAGGCACCGCCGACCUUAGGGAAAUGGGGAAGGGAAGACAUCCGGAGCGAGCGGAUGGAUUCCUGGAUACAUGAACUUGAGGAAGGUUGUUGUUGAGGCUGACCUUGGGUAA